This 264-nucleotide ribosomal RNA is filed under the name Escherichia coli. Its description in RNAcentral is "partial 16S ribosomal RNA". It matches the Rfam family "Bacterial small subunit ribosomal RNA", at positions 1 to 261 of the family's 1533-position model. The record is from RNAcentral. Lineage: Bacteria; Pseudomonadati; Pseudomonadota; Gammaproteobacteria; Enterobacterales; Enterobacteriaceae.
AAAUUGAAGAGUUUGAUCAUGGCUCAGAUUGAACGCUGGCGGCAGGCCUAACACAUGCAAGUCGAACGGUAACAGAAAGCAGCUUGCUGCUUUGCUGACGAGUGGCGGACGGGUGAGUAAUGUCUGGGAAACUGCCCGAUGGAGGGGGAUAACUACUGGAAACGGUAGCUAAUACCGCAUAACGUCGCAAGACCAAAGAGGGGGACCUUCGGGCCUCUUGCCAUCGGAUGUGCCCAGAUGGGAUUAGCUAGUAGGUGGGGUAAA